Molecule: ribosomal RNA, 496 nt
Filed under: uncultured bacterium
Lineage: Bacteria
Description: partial 16S ribosomal RNA
Rfam family: Bacterial small subunit ribosomal RNA
Source: RNAcentral
GAUGAACGCUGGCGGCGUGCCUAAUACAUGCAAGUCGAGCGAACAGACGAGGAGCUUGCUCCUCUGACGUUAGCGGCGGACGGGUGAGUAACACGUGGAUAACCUACCUAUAAGACUGGGAUAACUUCGGGAAACCGGAGCUAAUACCGGAUAAUAUAUUGAACCGCAUGGUUCAAUAGUGAAAGACGGUUUUGCUGUCACUUAUAGAUGGAUCCGCGCCGCAUUAGCUAGUUGGUAAGGUAACGGCUUACCAAGGCAACGAUGCGUAGCCGACCUGAGAGGGUGAUCGGCCACACUGGAACUGAGACACGGUCCAGACUCCUACGGGAGGCAGCAGUAGGGAAUCUUCCGUAAUGGGCGAAAGCUUGACGGAGCAACGCCGCGUGAGUGAUGAAGGUCUUCGGAUCGUAAAACUCUGUUAUUAGGGAAGAACAAAUGUGUAAGUAACUAUGCACGUCUUGACGGUACCUAAUCAGAAAGCCACGGCUAACUACGU